UACAGAGGUCCCAAGCGUUGUUCGGAUUCAUUGGGCGUAAAGGGUGCGUAGGUGGCGCCGUAAGUCGGGUGUGAAAUUUCGGAGCUUAACUCCGAAACUGCAUUCGAUACUGCGGUGCUUGAGGACUGGAGAGGAGACUGGAAUUCAUGGUGUAGCAGUGAAAUGCGUAGAGAUCAUGAGGAACACCGAUGGCGAAGGCAAUCCCCUGGGCCUGCACUGACGCUCAUGCACGAAAGCGUGGGGAGCAAACAGG
Molecule: ribosomal RNA, 253 nt
Filed under: uncultured bacterium
Lineage: Bacteria
Description: partial 16S ribosomal RNA
Rfam family: Bacterial small subunit ribosomal RNA
Source: RNAcentral